RNAcentral lists this ribosomal RNA (389 nucleotides) under uncultured bacterium. RNAcentral's name for it is "bacterial SSU rRNA". It matches the Rfam family "Bacterial small subunit ribosomal RNA", at positions 30 to 417 of the family's 1533-position model. The record is from RNAcentral.
AUUGAACGCUGGCGGCAUGCCUUACACAUGCAAGUCGAACGGCAGCACGGGAGCUUGCUCCUGGUGGCGAGUGGCGAACGGGUGAGUAAUACAUCGGAACGUACCCUGAAGUGGGGGAUAACGUAGCGAAAGUUACGCUAAUACCGCAUAUUCUGUGAGCAGGAAAGAGGGGGAUCGCAAGACCUCUUGCUUUAGGAGCGGCCGAUGUCGGAUUAGCUAGUUGGUGAGGUAAAGGCUCACCAAGGCGGCGAUCCGUAGCGGGUCUGAGAGGAUGAUCCGCCACACUGGGACUGAGACACGGCCCAGACUCCUACGGGAGGCAGCAGUGGGGAAUUUUGGACAAUGGGCGCAAGCCUGAUCCAGCCAUGCCGCGUGAGUGAAGAAGGCCU